UUUUUUUUUUUUUUUUUUUUUUUUUGUCUUUUUGCUUUUUCUAGGGCGGCUCCUACUGCAUAUGGAGGUUCCCAGUUAAGAGAAACAAGAUGUAAAAGCACCUUAGAGGAAUAUUUAAGAAAAAUAAAAAUAUAAAAAUAAAAAAUGAGGCCCAGAAUUAGCCCAAUAGAUGACGUGGCCUUCUAUGGUCCCAAACACAAUAUCCAUUUAACUCUCCCCACUGGAAAUACUUUCUGAGAACUGGCAUUACUAACUAAACCAAACUAAACUGAAACCGAUUAAAGGGCAGAUUUACAAACUUAGACCAACAAAGUUUAGACACAGAAAAGAAAGUCUUUCUCCUUUCCCAUAAGAUACACCAUUAUCCCUGCUCUCCUUAUCCACACAAAAAUAACUGAACUUUUAAAAAUAAAGAACACAAACUGCCUAGACGUCUCAAGCUACAAAGAACCAUUUGGCACCGAUACAGGCUAAGGACUUUCAAUUUGCCUUCUAAUAGAAAUCUAUGCAAUAAAAGUCCAAACUCCACCUCAGAAGGAAAAAUCUGCUAACUAUACAAGCACUUCCAUUUGUCUUAAUUUUGUCAUUUAUUUUUCCAUUGUUUUUCAUGAUUCAUCCCUGGAAUAGAGCGAAUGCUACUUAGCAGCAGGCAGAACACAUCAUCCUGCAGCCCGUUGGCAAGAGCACGGGGAGUGGGGAGUGGGGAGCGGAGAGCUUCAGUUGAGGUGAGCAAAGAAGCCUGUGAUGCGCUAAAACCAAGGUCCUAGGGCAAACACGACCAGCUGGGACAGCCCCACUUUACCUGUUGUCCACAUCUUUCCUCCAGGCUGGGUCAGAGUAAUCCUUUCUCUACCACCAGUCAGGGCAGGACACACAUUUUUCAAAGACUCCAUAUACUGAGCUUUGAAAUGUCCUUGGUUUAAGUCAAAACCUAUUGUGCGUGAACACUCUGUAGGUGCCUCCCCCUUACUUCUUAUCAAGUCAGGCUAGUCCUGAAGCCAUUAGCAGGAGGGAGACAAGAAACAUCAAGGAAACCUAUUUGUUUUUAAUGGGCAUUAAAAAUACGUAGGCGAGAACGUGGCAGACGGCAAUCUGCUAUAUUUGAAGCAGGCACAGGCCGAAGCAGUCAAAAGCCCAAAGUGCUCAGCCAGGUAAAAUCACUGUUGUGAUGCCCUGUCGCACCUGAGCUAGAGAAGGAGUAAUGCUACCCAGCUCACUUCCUCCCGGUAAAUAUGCCAGGAGGACACACCCCCUGCCAACCUACAAGCCUUCAAGUGUGAUCUUCCCCAUGCUUCUGUGUCCCCCCUAAGCCAAGUCUCCAGGACCCCCCCCCCACCACUGCCUCGCCGCAACCCAUCUCCUUUCUCGUCCCCCUCAUGUGCCCCCCUCCCAUCCUCUCAAGGCGGUCACAGCCACUUCUCUGGCACCUCCAGCUCCUGAAUGACUGUCAUCAGAACCCUAGCCCUCAACGCCCUCUACCCUCUGCGACUCGCCUGCCCACAUCAGUGGGCCCCGGUCCCUCCUAGGACCUGCCGCGGUGGGCCUCCGCAACCUGGCACGGCUCCC
RNAcentral lists this long non-coding RNA (1566 nucleotides) under Sus scrofa (pig). RNAcentral's name for it is "lncRNA (ENSSSCG00005023014.1)". The record is from RNAcentral. Lineage: Eukaryota; Metazoa; Chordata; Mammalia; Artiodactyla; Suidae.